UACAGAGGAUGCAAGCGUUAUCCGGAAUGAUUGGGCGUAAAGCGUCUGUAGGCGGCUUUUUAAGUCCGCCGUCAAAUCCCAGGGCUCAACUCUGGACAGGCGGUGGAAACUACCAAGCUGGAGUACGGUAGGGGCAGAGGGAAUUUCCGGUGGAGCGGUGAAAUGCGUAGAGAUCGGGAAGAACACCAACGGCGAAGGCGCUCUGCUGGGCCGACACUGACGCUGAGAGACGAAAGCUAGGGGAGCGAAUGGG
This 253-nucleotide ribosomal RNA is filed under the name uncultured bacterium. RNAcentral describes it as "partial 16S ribosomal RNA". It matches the Rfam family "Bacterial small subunit ribosomal RNA", at positions 524 to 776 of the family's 1533-position model. The record is from RNAcentral.